Molecule: transfer RNA, 73 nt
Filed under: Candidatus Woesearchaeota archaeon
Lineage: Archaea; Nanobdellati; Candidatus Woesearchaeota
Description: tRNA-Asn
Rfam family: tRNA
About the family: Transfer RNA (tRNA) molecules are approximately 80 nucleotides in length. Their secondary structure includes four short double-helical elements and three loops (D, anti-codon, and T loops).
Source: RNAcentral
GCCUCUGUAGCUCAGUAGGUGGAGCGUACGGCUGUUAACCGUAAGGUCACCAGUUCAAGUCUGGUCAGAGGCG